RNAcentral lists this unclassified non-coding RNA (20 nucleotides) under Chlamydomonas reinhardtii. Its description in RNAcentral is "small RNA Cre_3898". Lineage: Eukaryota; Viridiplantae; Chlorophyta; Chlorophyceae; Chlamydomonadales; Chlamydomonadaceae. The record is from RNAcentral.
UUGAGCCAAAUUCCUAUGGG